This 507-nucleotide ribosomal RNA is filed under the name Glomus sp. MO-G5. RNAcentral describes it as "SSU rRNA". It matches the Rfam family "Eukaryotic small subunit ribosomal RNA", at positions 569 to 1078 of the family's 1831-position model. Lineage: Eukaryota; Fungi; Glomeromycota; Glomeromycetes; Glomerales; Glomeraceae. The record is from RNAcentral.
AGCAGCCGCGGUAAUUCCAGCUCCAAUAGCGUAUAUUAAAGUUGUUGCAGUUAAAAAGCUCGUAGUUGAAUUUCGGGAUUAGUACGUUGGUCGUGCCUUAGGUACGUACUGGUGUUACUGGUUCCUACCUUCUGACGAACCAUCAUGUCAUUAAUUUGGUGUGGCGGGGAAUCAGGACUGUUACUUUGAAAAAAUUAGAGUGUUUAAAGCAGGCUCGCGCUUGAAUACAUUAGCAUGGAAUAAUGAAAUAGGACGUUGACCCUAUUUUGUUGGUUUCUAGGAUUGACGUAAUGAUUAAUAGGGAUAGUUGGGGGCAUUAGUAUUCAAUUGUCAGAGGUGAAAUUCUUGGAUUUAUUGAAGACUAACUACUGCGAAAGCAUCUGCCAAGGAUGUUUUCAUUAAUCAAGAACGAAAGUUAGGGGAUCGAAGACGAUCAGAUACCGUCGUAGUCUUAACCAUAAGCUAUGCCGACUAGGGAUCGGAUGAUGUUAAUUUUUUAAUGACUCA